This 19-nucleotide ribosomal RNA is filed under the name Pisolithus tinctorius. Its description in RNAcentral is "partial 18S ribosomal RNA". Lineage: Eukaryota; Fungi; Basidiomycota; Agaricomycetes; Boletales; Pisolithaceae. The record is from RNAcentral.
UAACUGGGAAGGAUCAUUA